GUAGUGAUAAAUAGACACUCCUCUAUAGAUUUUACAUAGAUUGCUAGGGAAAGUGCUGGAACUGAUCUCAUUCAACUAUUUUUUUUUUUUUUUUUUACAACUCACGUUGAAGAGGAAGUGCACAAUGAGCUCUGCAGGUUUGCCAGUGACACUAAUCUCUUCCAGGUGCUGAAACGCUAAGGUAAUGGGGAAACGCUGCAGGAAGCUCCUACAGCCCUUCCUAGGCACGCCAGGGAGCGGGCCUUCAGGGGCAGGAGUGCAGGGGAGGACGCGAGAGCAGCGCCAGGCCAGCCCCGCUGCCCUGUGUUCUCACGGGCUGCAGCGAAUGUUCUCCCCAGGCUCCUGCAGCUCCAGGUACUGGCGUGGGUGGCAGGGAGAGAGGUAGGGUGAGGUGCUGGGGGCCUGACUUGCCGGGGGGCUCCUGUAGCCGCCCCCCUCCUUUCUAGUCUGCACACAGAAACUGAGUUUUCCUGGAUAACCUGAGGCUUUCCCUCCUGUGCAGCGCUUGGCUCUGUGGGUACCUCCACCGGUUCUCUCUUAUUCUUGCCAACUGUGUGAACGGAUGACUUUCAUUGGCCUCUGACCUCAGCCUUUCUCUCUGCUUGGACAGAGCUCGGUGUGCCACACCCUCUGGCAUCAUUUGGUUUCUCCUACUUCUUCCAGUUAACCUGGCCCACGGGACAUCCCCUUCUCCCCAACCCUACUCCACUCCAACCAGCAUUUGCUAGGAAGACAGAGAAGCCCUGCCUCCAAGCCUGUCUCUCAAAGCAAGCAGAUUCUCACCAUUCUGCUAGAUCUCUGGGCAGGGCUCCCCUUCUCGCCUUCCCUGAUUCUUUUAGUCUGCUGGGAUCUUCACCUCAGCUUAUCCUGCCACAAUUUCAGACGUAUUUAUUUCAUUUGUUUGAUUUCACCUUGGCACUUUCCCCAUCCUAACCCCAAAUGGUUCUGAUCCUUGUGUUUAGGCACCACAACCAAAGAUAACAAAAAAUUCUUCUGAUGUUUAGUUUCCAGGCACCAACGAACCUACCAGUCAGGCCUGGUCUCCACAGACUGAGAAGUUAGGUCAGAGGAUAUCAGGAAAGAGAAAGGCUUCUCUUUCUCUAAAGAUAAGAGAUUUAGCUUCAUCCUAUGGUACAUAUUAAUUACUAUAUGUUAAGGUAUUCCUAUGCUAUAGCCUUAGGAGGGCCAAACUUGCUUAAGUUUAAAUUGCUGGGAGGGCAACCAGUAAAGAAUUGAUUCGGGCUAGGAUAUCACUGAGUGAUAAAAACCAGUAGUGAAACCUCGCUGAGAAACAGGAUGUUUGUGUGGUGCCAAAAUAUCACCUACAGAACUACUUGCUAGUUCACAAGGAAAAUAAGUAGCUAUAAAAUAAAAGUCUGUGAUGGAGUGACCAAAUUUAGCAUCAUUCAUAUAAGGGCCACAAGACAUUAUGGGCUUCCUGAUGUCAUGUGAUAUGAAAUGUUCUUGCCCCAACUAGUUAACCUUAAUCUGAUCAGCUCAAAUCUCUCUCUACAUUUUCCACAUCCCUUUUCUCUGAAUUUUAUCCUAAGACCUCUUUAGACACAUAUUAGGCACCAAUAAGUAUGUGCUGAAUGAUUCAUGUGUUAAGAGUGUAUUAGUUUCCUGGAGCUGCUGUAACAAGGAACCACCACCUGGGUGGCUCAAUGCAAUGGAAACGUAUCGUCUCACAGUUCUGGAGGCCAACAUGUCAGUAGGGCCAUUGUCCCUCAGGCAGCGCUAAAGAGGAGAUCCUUCCUUGUCUCGCCCUAGCUUCUGGUGGCCCAGGCGUUCCUUGGCUUGUGGUAGCAUCACUGCAAACUCUGCUUGCUUCACAAGGCCUCUUCUCUGUGUCUCUGUGUCUCUCUGUGUUCUCUCCUCAUCUUACAAGGACAUCAGUUGUUUGAUUUAGGGCUUCGUCUACAUCCAUAAUGAGUUCAUCUCAAGACAAGAUCCUUAACUAAUGACAUCUGCAAAGACCCUUUUAAAAAAUAAGAUCCUAUUCUAAAGUUUUGGGUGGAUAUGAAUUUGGCAGCGUUGGGGAACAACACUGUUCCACCUGCGACACAGAUCUCUUUCAGGAUUGAAAAUGACAGAAAACCCAAUCUAACGAGCUGAGACAAAUUAUUAGUACCAAUCCUAGCAGCAUAUAUUUAGUACCUCUCCCUGAACAAUACUAGCAAAAAAAUCUUAUGCAUGUCAUUGGCCUUGAUCAGGUUACAUGUCCAUCUCUAAACUGACCACCGCAGCCAGGCCUGAGUCUAUGCCGCAGCUCCAGAGCCAGGAAUGGGUUCAGUUCCACUGAAAGGACACGGACUAAGGAGGUCAUCCCCAGAUACUAUUUUCAGGAGAAGGGGUAAUGGGUGCUGGGUAGUAAACAAUGUAGCCAUCCACUAGAAUGGUCUUCCUUCAUAGUCAGCGAGCUCUUGGGAGGCAGUGAUUCUGGUUGUCAUGUCGGUAUUCCAAAGCCUUGAAGAGCAACAUGCCUUCAAAUAAAUAUUUGCUGAGUUGUUUUUGAAUUUUUAACAUGACUCAGUCUCUGAGGGCUUUAUCUGCUAUACAUCUGAGAUCCAGACUCUGGGCCAGGGUGACCUCUCCCCAUUGUAAGUCCCUUUCUAGGUAGACCAGCUGGCCACCUGUUGGUAACCAUUCAUUCUUAAAAAUGUCUGUGAAACAGAACCAGGAAAGAAGGGGUUGGCUCAUCUCAUGGUAGGGUCAAAGCAUGCCAGGAGAGAAACACAAGUGGUCAGUGAAAGUUCUGCACACACAAUCUCUUCAUCUGCAGGGUUGGAGUAUGCUUGCCCUCACGUACCCUGGAGCGCUGGCGGGGAAGUUGGGAGUCGGUUGCUAUGAGGACGUCUACUUCAGUAAAACGAGGGUUGAAGGUUCUAUGGGCUCUGAGGACUUCCCAUAAAACAUAACAGAUUGAACGUGUGCACAUGCCCCAGCCUCCUUCCCAAACCCUGCUAAACUGGUCUUGCUCUGUCGCCCUGGCCAGAGUUCCGUGGUGU
Molecule: non-coding RNA, 3008 nt
Organism: Microcebus murinus (gray mouse lemur)
Lineage: Eukaryota; Metazoa; Chordata; Mammalia; Primates; Cheirogaleidae
Source: RefSeq, a predicted model, not a curated record